This is a long non-coding RNA of Gasterosteus aculeatus aculeatus (three-spined stickleback), 879 nucleotides long. RefSeq lists it as uncharacterized. The record is from RefSeq and is a predicted model, not a curated record. NCBI's taxonomy places the organism in Eukaryota, Metazoa, Chordata, Actinopteri, Perciformes, Gasterosteidae.
UCCCAGUGAGAUCACAUUCUCUAAGGCUACGCAGCAGUUUCAGCACACCGAGACCCCCCUUCCCCCCCUGCACGCGCUCAAGACACUUUUGACUUUGUUCAACUCAGGACCAAGACGUCCCAACUGCAGAUAGAAGCUAUUCGUGCCUUUGGAAACAGCCCGGGGCUCACACGAGUCCACCGCCCCGGACUACAUAUCCCAGAAGUCAUUGUUGCCGCUUAAUUAGCAGCGGUUCAAAGCAGGCGGAGGACAGGAACAGGACAAGCACCCUUGACACCAACCAGCAGCACCACACGCAGCAGACAUGUCGGACGCCGAGACCGCCGCCGCCCCCGCCGAGGUCCCCGUCCCCGCUGGUUGUGCCGGCAUCAAGGCUGAGCUGGACAAAUGUGUGGCAGAGAACGGAGCCGAGGGCUGCAAGGAUCUGAUGGAGGCCUUUGCUGCUUGUGUGAAGAGUGCAGCCGAGGGGACGUCCUGAGGAGCCGCCCUCCAACCUCCAAUGGGAGGUCCACUGCACCGAGUCCUCCAAGUUCCCGGCAUUCCCUUCUUUCACAGCAGCACUGUACUGAAUGUUGACGACGACGACGAUGAUGAUGAUAAUCAUUGUGUGACUAAAGUGUUGAAAUGGGCUGAAUUUGGAAAGUGGUGGCAGUAACUACAGUCCCCCCCCCCCCCCCCCCCAUAAACCCCGUACCCCGCUAUAGGUCUGUCUGGUGUCCCUCAGUCUUACCGUCAUUCCCCUUUUCUCCCCCUGCGGCUGAAAUGCAGCACAUCGACUUGUAGACAAUUCCAGAGCUGAGCUGUAAUGUAAGUUGUCGACUCGAGAUGAAUACUUAUAAAUGGAAAUAAAAGUAUCAAAUACUUGGUAUAAAAAACUGA